AGUGAACGCUGGCGGUAGGCCUAACGCAUGCAAGUCGAACGGCAGCACAGGAGAGCUUGCUCUCUGGGUGGCGAGUGGCGGACGGGUGAGGAAUACAUCGGAAUCUACUCUGUCGUGGGGGAUAACGUAGGGAAACUUACGCUAAUACCGCAUACGACCUACGGGUGAAAGCAGGGGACCUUCGGGCCUUGCGCGAUUGAAUGAGCCGAUGUGGGAUUAGCUAGUUGGCGGGGUAAAGGCCCACCAAGGCGACGAUCCGUAGCUGGUCUGAGAGGAUGAUCAGCCACACUGGAACUGAGACACGGUCCAGACUCCUACGGGAGGCAGCAGUGGGGAAUAUUGGACAAUGGGCGCAAGCCUGAUCCAGCCAUACCGCGUGGGUGAAGAAGGCCUUCGGGUUGUAAAGCCCUUUUGUUGGGAAAGAAAUCCAGCUGGCUAAUACCCGGUUGGGAUGACGGUACCCAAAGAAUAAGCACCGGCUAACUUCGUGCCAGCCGCCGCGGUAA
RNAcentral lists this ribosomal RNA (506 nucleotides) under uncultured bacterium. Its description in RNAcentral is "partial 16S ribosomal RNA". It matches the Rfam family "Bacterial small subunit ribosomal RNA", at positions 29 to 523 of the family's 1533-position model. The record is from RNAcentral.